AGAUGCGAUCAUACCAGCACAAAACCACCGGAUUCCAUCAGAACUCUGAAGUUAAGCAUGCUUGGGUGAGAGUAGUACUAGGAUGGGUGACCUCAUGGGAAAUCCUCGUGUUGCAUUCC
RNAcentral lists this ribosomal RNA (119 nucleotides) under Triticum aestivum (bread wheat). RNAcentral also lists the same sequence under 1 other name. The record is from RNAcentral. Lineage: Eukaryota; Viridiplantae; Streptophyta; Magnoliopsida; Poales; Poaceae.